AACGUCCGUCGUGAAGAGGGAAACAACCCAGACCGCCAGCUAAGGUCCCAAAGUCAUGGUUAAGUGGGAAACGAUGUGGGAAGGCACAGACAGCCAGGAUGUUGGCUUAGAAGCAGCCAUCAUUUAAAGAAAGCGUAAUAGCUCACUGGUCGAGUCGGCCUGCGCGGAAGAUGUAACGGGGCUAAACCAUGCACCGAAGCUGCGGCAGCGACACUAUGUGUUGUUGGGUAGGGGAGCGUUCUGUAAGCCGUUGAAGGUGGCCUGUGAGGGUUGCUGGAGGUAUCAGAAGUGCGAAUGCUGACAUAAGUAACGAUAAAGCGGGUGAAAAGCCCGCUCGCCGGAAGACCAAGGGUUCCUGUCCAACGUUAAUCGGGGCAGGGUGAGUCGACCCCUAAGGCGAGGCCGAAAGGCGUAGUCGAUGGGAAACAGGUUAAUAUUCCUGUACUCGGUGUUACUGCGAAGGGGGGACGGAGAAGGCUAUGUUAGCCGGGCGACGGUUGUCCCGGUUUAAGCAUGUAGGCGGGAAG
RNAcentral lists this ribosomal RNA (527 nucleotides) under Klebsiella ornithinolytica. RNAcentral describes it as "Raoultella ornithinolytica partial 23S ribosomal RNA". It matches the Rfam family "Bacterial large subunit ribosomal RNA", at positions 1000 to 1531 of the family's 2925-position model. The record is from RNAcentral. Lineage: Bacteria; Pseudomonadati; Pseudomonadota; Gammaproteobacteria; Enterobacterales; Enterobacteriaceae.